UACAAUGGCGUAAACAAAGGGAAGCGAGACGGUGACGUUAAGCAAAUCCCAGAAAUAACGUCCCAGUUCGGAUUGUAGUCUGCAACCCGGCUACAUGAAGCUGGAAUCGCUAGUAAUCGCGGAUCAGAAUGCCGCGGUGAAUACGUUCCCGGGUCUUGUACACACCGCCCGUCACACCAUGGGAGUCGGAAAUGCCCGAAGUCAGUGACCUAACCGAAAGGAGGGAGCUGCCGAAGGUGGAGCCGGUAACUGGGGUGAAGUCGUAACAAGGUAAC
This 275-nucleotide ribosomal RNA is filed under the name uncultured bacterium. Its description in RNAcentral is "partial 16S ribosomal RNA". It matches the Rfam family "Bacterial small subunit ribosomal RNA", at positions 1226 to 1500 of the family's 1533-position model. The record is from RNAcentral.